RNAcentral lists this ribosomal RNA (722 nucleotides) under Coleoptera sp. NZAC 03009328. RNAcentral's name for it is "eukaryotic LSU rRNA". The stretch from base 499 to 722 matches the Rfam family "Eukaryotic large subunit ribosomal RNA", at positions 665 to 856 of the family's 3401-position model. Lineage: Eukaryota; Metazoa; Arthropoda; Insecta; Coleoptera. The record is from RNAcentral.
UACGUGAAACCGUUCAGGGGUAAACCUGAGAAACCCGAAAGGUCGAAGGGGGAGAUUCAAUCGCCUCUCGCCGCGUCGGCGUGCCUCGGACGCGCGACGGUCGCCGGCCGGUCCUCGCGACCGCGCCGUCGCCGCGCCGUUCGUAGCGCGUAUCGGCCGCGAAGGCGUGCACUUCUCCCCUUGUAGGACGUCGCGACCCGUUGGGUGCCGGUCUGAGGUCCGCGGUGUAGCCCGCGUCGUCGGCUUCGGCCGCGCGGCGCGGACCCGCGGUGUCCCGGCCGGCUCGCCCGACGGUAGCAAACCGAGGAAGGCGUGGGGCCGCGAACUCGUUCGCGCGCCGGCCCGCCGCAAGCGCGCACGGUAAAUCCGGCGGCCGGACCUAGCGCCGGCUCCGGACCCGGGCGGCUGCUGGCGGCGGUGUCCUCGCGCAGGCUCCGACACGCGCCCGUCGGCGACGCCGUAGCUUUGGGUACUCUCAGGGCCCGUCUUGAAACACGGACCAAGGAGUCUAGCAUGCGCGCGAGUCAUCGGGAACCGAUAAACCCGUAGGCGCAGUGAAAGCGAAGGCCCGCCUCGCGCGGGCCGAGGGAGGAUGGGUCUCCGUUCGCGGGGGCCCCGCACUCCCGGGGCGUCUCGCGCUCAUCGCGAGCUGAGGCGCACCUAGAGCGUGCACGCUGGGACCCGAAAGAUGGUGAACUAUGCCUGGUCAGGACGAAGUCAGG